AGCUGGCUUUAUGAAUUGCUGCAGUCUAUUUGUUGCAGAUACACAUACACGCAAUAUUAAGUAGAGAGUUCCACGAUUUUGAUGAAGCAACACUGGAGGAAUGGUGAUGCAUUUCCAGGUUAAUGUGGCAAGAGGCUGGGAGGAGAACUUGUCGUAUUUCCAUGCAUCAGCUAUUUUUAUCUUUCUAGAUAGAAGAGUUCAUAGGUUUGGAAGGUGCUGUCAUGUUCAAACAUGCUAUGACACUCCUCUGAAUCAGAUGGGAUUUGAAAGCAGAACCUUCUGCCCCAGAGGAACGGACACCACGAAAUCCCAUUAAAGGGUCCCUUCUCAACAGUAUCUGCUUCCAAUAAAGUCAAUGCAACAAAUGCAGAAGCAAAAACAGAAGAAACAUGGACAUCAGCAGUUCAUGAAGACAGCUCACCACCACCUUCUCAAGUGCAGUUAUAGACUUGCAAUAGAUGGUGGCCUCGCCAGUGAUGUCCAUGUCCCAUAAAAACAUUUUUAAGUUAUUGUGAUUUUUAACCCAAUCAGAGGCUAAAUAUUCAAUCAAAAGAAGCUGUGAUUCCUCAGGAGGAAUUUGAAAUAAUUUUGGUGACUCACAGAUGUCUGGAUUCAUUGCUGCAAAGGUUCCAGGGAAAUGUUAUAGAUGUGUCUGGCAUUUAAUGUGCAUUUUGUAACGUAUUGAACUAGUUUGUUUGUUAAUUAAUGUUUGCCUCAUAACAAAUCUAAAGGUUAGAGUAUAAUAUAGAUCUUAUUGGAUAUUUGCCUUGUUAAUGAGUAUGCAUUGAAAUGUCUCCUGUUCUACAACAAUAGAAUCUUGUGCCUUUAUUCUCUUGGUAAAGUCUCUGGGGUUUCAAAUUUCAUCCAUUUUAGGAACGGUAGCAAAAAUUGGGAGUUUGUUCUGACACUCAAAGCAUUUUCUCUCAUAAAUCCAACAUUGCACAACAGCCAAAUAUUCCAUGCAAUGUUUUGAGCAUUAAUGAUCAUGUUUGCAAAUUAUCCCAGUCAUUAUAUUAGUUUGAAUAAUAGAUUUGACUAUAAUGCUAAGUUAUAGCAUAGCUAAUCCUUAAGUUCAUUUCAUGCUAUGGAACCUGUCAACAUAACUUAAGCAAAAUGUUAUUAACAUGUCUGAAUUUUAGAAUGCAAUAUGGCAUUAAUCUAUGAUUCAACUUCUGUAAAUGCUGUGGCAACUCAAAUGUCCUUUCUGUGAUUUUUUUUAUUUUUGCAGCU
This is a non-coding RNA of Chiloscyllium plagiosum (whitespotted bambooshark), 1230 nucleotides long. Lineage: Eukaryota; Metazoa; Chordata; Chondrichthyes; Orectolobiformes; Hemiscylliidae. The record is from RefSeq and is a predicted model, not a curated record.